AACAUUUACUUAAGUAUAACAUGCAUUUCCUACUAAAUAAUUUUGUGUUACAACAUUUACUUAAAUAAAUCAUGUUACAUUUGCCUUUAGUUCAACUGUAUAGAUUUUAAUCGAUUCAAUUAAGUUAGAAUAACAUGAAACAAUCAAUUUAAAAAAUAAGAAUGUAGUUUAGCCUGCUCCUGACCAUUAGAUGGCGUGAGUGUGCGAUCGGGCUGGAUGCCAACACCUGAAAUACACGAAGAAAUGCCGAUGCAUCUUUUGAAUGUCCUGGCUGUGCUGUGCUGGUGAAGAGUCUGCUUUUUAAGCUCUAAAAGGUCACUGCCAAGGUAUGCUGAUCUGCUGUCCGACUGCAAGUGUUCCUCCAACUGCACCUAUCUGAAGUAGAGCUGUACCAGUGACCUAGCCUGAUUGCCAUCGACUUGAAAGGCUCUGCGAGACUUCAGUCUGACCAAGAGCCUGUGCUAACACGGUUUCUCCCAGCGCUGGUUGACCCGCCUCAUUUAAGUGCCUCGAUUUGCUACUGGUCGAUGUCAGAAAGCGGUUUGCCGAGUUUAAACCAAUAACAACACUCUUUCCUCUGCCUUGAACAUGCCUCUACCCAGAGCCGUUGGAGCUGCUCAAAGUUGAUUGGUUCUCGACCAAAGGGGGCAGUUCCGCAGAUUUCGGGAAUUCAGAAAUCCUUCCCGAUUAGCAGUUGACCAGACCAGCGACAGCAACGCCGAAGGUGUUACGUCACUGGGAGGGCGUGCCAGGCUACCAGUGACCACAAGUUAAAGAUUUUUGCCCACCGACAUCAAGAAGUAGUCUGAGAUGCACCCAUGAUGGCUGAAUUAAGACGAGGUGGCCAGCAUUUUCAAUGUGCGUGAGCUGUGUGCGGAAUUCAAGGGAUCACUGGAUGGAUGCUCCAUCUGCAAACCUGAUGAAGGCAUUUAGUAUCUAUGACUGAGGAUUCUGGCAUUGAUGUCUGCCACGAAUGUGCUCUCCUCUCAAGGGACUGUGCCUAUAUGAAUGAAG
This is a long non-coding RNA of Sardina pilchardus (European sardine), 1014 nucleotides long. RefSeq lists it as uncharacterized. NCBI's taxonomy places the organism in Eukaryota, Metazoa, Chordata, Actinopteri, Clupeiformes, Clupeidae. The record is from RefSeq and is a predicted model, not a curated record. The transcript has 5 exons.